ACGGAAGGCAGCAGUGGGGAAUAUUGCACAAUGGGCGAAAGCCUGAUGCAGCGACGCCGCGUGAGUGAAGAAGUAUCUCGGUAUGUAAAGCUCUAUCAGCAGGGAAGAAAAUGACGGUACCUGACUAAGAAGCCCCGGCUAACUACGUGCCAGCAGCCGCGGUAAUACGUAGGGGGCAAGCGUUAUCCGGAUUUACUGGGUGUAAAGGGAGCGUAGACGGUUUGGCAAGUCUGAAGUGAAAUGCGGGGGCUCAACUCCUGAACUGCUUUGGAAACUGUCGAGCUAGAGUGCAGGAGAGGUAAGUGGAAUUCCUAGUGUAGCGGUGAAAUGCGUAGAUAUUAGGAGGAACACCAGUGGCGAAGGCGGCUUACUGGACUGUAACUGACGUUGAGGCUCGAAAGCGUGGGGAGCAAACAGGAUUAGAUACCCUGGUA
RNAcentral lists this ribosomal RNA (434 nucleotides) under uncultured Clostridium sp. RNAcentral's name for it is "partial 16S ribosomal RNA". It matches the Rfam family "Bacterial small subunit ribosomal RNA", at positions 341 to 792 of the family's 1533-position model. Lineage: Bacteria; Bacillati; Bacillota; Clostridia; Eubacteriales; Clostridiaceae. The record is from RNAcentral. RNAcentral also lists the same sequence under 1 other name.